This 253-nucleotide ribosomal RNA is filed under the name uncultured bacterium. RNAcentral describes it as "partial 16S ribosomal RNA". It matches the Rfam family "Bacterial small subunit ribosomal RNA", at positions 524 to 776 of the family's 1533-position model. The record is from RNAcentral.
UACGUAGGAUGCAAGCGUUGUCCGGAUUUACUGGGCGUAAAGGGCGCGCAGGUGGCGCUUUAAGUUAGGCGUGAAAGCUCCCGGCUCAACUGGGAAGGGUCGUCUAAAACUGGAGUGCUCGAGGGCAGGAGAGGAAAGUGGAAUUCCCGGUGUAGUGGUGAAAUGCGUAGAUAUCGGGAGGAACACCAGUGGCGAAGGCGGCUUUCUGGCCUGCCCCUGACGCUGAGGCGCGAAGGCUGGGGGAGCGAACGGG